RNAcentral lists this ribosomal RNA (1408 nucleotides) under Salmonella enterica subsp. enterica serovar Newport. Its description in RNAcentral is "partial 23S ribosomal RNA". It matches the Rfam family "Bacterial large subunit ribosomal RNA", at positions 110 to 1480 of the family's 2925-position model. The record is from RNAcentral. Lineage: Bacteria; Pseudomonadati; Pseudomonadota; Gammaproteobacteria; Enterobacterales; Enterobacteriaceae.
AUUUCCGAAUGGGGAAACCCAGUGUGAUUCGUCACACUAUCAUUAACUGAAUCCAUAGGUUAAUGAGGCGAACCGGGGGAACUGAAACAUCUAAGUACCCCGAGGAAAAGAAAUCAACCGAGAUUCCCCCAGUAGCGGCGAGCGAACGGGGAGGAGCCCAGAGCCUGAAUCAGCAUGUGUGUUAGUGGAAGCGUCUGGAAAGGCGCGCGAUACAGGGUGACAGCCCCGUACACAAAAGCGCAUGUGCUGUGAGCUCGAUGAGUAGGGCGGGACACGUGGUAUCCUGUCUGAAUAUGGGGGGACCAUCCUCCAAGGCUAAAUACUCCUGACUGACCGAUAGUGAACCAGUACCGUGAGGGAAAGGCGAAAAGAACCCCGGCGAGGGGAGUGAAAAAGAACCUGAAACCGUGUACGUACAAGCAGUGGGAGCACAGGUUUACCUGUGUGACUGCGUACCUUUUGUAUAAUGGGUCAGCGACUUAUAUUCUGUAGCAAGGUUAACCGAAUAGGGGAGCCGGAGGGAAACCGAGUCUUAAUUGGGCGUUAAGUUGCAGGGUAUAGACCCGAAACCCGGUGAUCUAGCCAUGGGCAGGUUGAAGGUUGGGUAACACUAACUGGAGGACCGAACCGACUAAUGUUGAAAAAUUAGCGGAUGACCUGUGGCUGGGGGUGAAAGGCCAAUCAAACCGGGAGAUAGCUGGUUCUCCCCGAAAGCUAUUUAGGUAGCGCCUCGUGAAUUCAUCUCCGGGGGUAGAGCACUGUUUCGGCUAGGGGGCCAUCCCGGCUUACCAACCCGAUGCAAACUGCGAAUACCGGAGAAUGUUAUCACGGGAGACACACGGCGGGUGCUAACGUCCGUCGUGAAGAGGGAAACAACCCAGACCGCCAGCUAAGGUCCCAAAGUCAUGGUUAAGUGGGAAACGAUGUGGGAAGGCCCAGACAGCCAGGAUGUUGGCUUAGAAGCAGCCAUCAUUUAAAGAAAGCGUAAUAGCUCACUGGUCGAGUCGGCCUGCGCGGAAGAUGUAACGGGGCUAAACCAUGCACCGAAGCUGCGGCAGCGAACGUAUCACUUAAAGCGAUUCAGCGGGUUACGAUUGACGGAGCGAAGCGACGUCAAAGCGUAUACAAAGUCGAGUCGGUUUAAGGAUACGUUCGUUGGGUAGGGGAGCGUUCUGUAAGCCUGUGAAGGUGGCCUGUGAGGGUUGCUGGAGGUAUCAGAAGUGCGAAUGCUGACAUAAGUAACGAUAAAGCGGGUGAAAAGCCCGCUCGCCGGAAGACCAAGGGUUCCUGUCCAACGUUAAUCGGGGCAGGGUGAGUCGACCCCUAAGGCGAGGCCGAAAGGCGUAGUCGAUGGGAAACGGGUUAAUAUUCCCGUACUUGGUGUUACUGCGAAGGGGGGACGGAGAAG